CCUUCGGAGCGUUAUAUCAAAUGCGAGUAGCCGUUGGGCUUGCUCAGGGCGAAAGCAGACGCGAUGAAUUAGGAA
This 75-nucleotide small RNA is filed under the name bovine gut metagenome. RNAcentral's name for it is "RAGATH-18 RNA". It matches the Rfam family "RAGATH-18 RNA". From Rfam's summary of the family: Actinobacteria, Firmicutes, Fusobacteria, Thermotogae (1 example). Nearby to self-cleaving ribozyme genes The record is from RNAcentral.